Molecule: unclassified non-coding RNA, 2832 nt
Filed under: Apis dorsata (giant honeybee)
Lineage: Eukaryota; Metazoa; Arthropoda; Insecta; Hymenoptera; Apidae
Description: mICOS complex subunit Mic60, transcript variant X1
Source: RNAcentral
GAACAUAACCUAAAAGUUAUGAAGUUGCAAUAAUUAUUAUGCAAUGACUUAUUGAAUUUAAAUGAAUAACAGUUUACAAUGAAGCUACUAAAUUAUCAUUUAAUAUAAAAUUAAGAGUGUUAGUGAAUUUCUAAAAAAGUUUCUAUUACAUACCUCGAAUAGCGAUACUAACAAUACGCAACAUUCUUCUUUUCCUCUAGUUCCGUCGGUAACCAGCUGUUUUGUGCCGUCGUUCCCUUUUUCCUUUGGCUGCCUGACCGGCCACCCGAAAGAUGUUCCGAAUUGGAUUAAAAUUUCCGUGCAACGGUCUAAAUAGGGUACGUAAAGUCAAAAAGAAUGGAUCCUCCAGACUGUAUUUGACAACUAGGUAUUAUGAGACACGUGCACGAAUUAAAUACGACCAGGAAUGUAGGUUUUCCAAGGAUGUCAAACUUAUAUCUCGAAUACCGAUACAUAAGUAUUCAACUGAUACACCAAAAAGGGAGAAAAGCAGAGGAACCACAAAAACAGUAUUAACUUUGACUGCUGUGGCAAUAGGAGCAUCAGGUGUAUUGCUUUAUGCAAAACAUGAUCCAAAAUUUCGUGCAAAUCUUGAAGGUUGGAUACCUGGCACAGACAAGACUAUUCAGAUCAUCUUUCAGGAGGAAUCAUCCUACUUUGAAUUCAUACGUACAUUCUUUGAAACAUUAAAGCAAACAAUUAUAAGUUCCCUUUUUGGAGGAGAUUCAAAAAAAGCAGGUCAGAAAAGAAUAGAUUGUACACAAGUUGAAGAUUAUAUACCACCAAAACCAACUUUUGUACCACUCAUUGAUAAGAAGGAACCACCUAUUAAUGAACCUUAUGCUGAAAUAAGAUUAAGUAAAGAAAAAGGAGAGGAAAUUGAAAUUGUUGCCGAAAAACCUACGCCGCCUCCUAAGGAUGUACCUGAGGAAUUAAUGCCAGCAAAUCUGGUGGAAUUAGAAACAUCAUGUGGUGAAGCUGCAUCUAAAGCUAUCGCAGCUUAUCAAAAAGCAGUAUGUGUUAUUCAAGAUUACAAUAAAGAUGUGAUGAGAGUUGUAGAAAGUCUUCAUGCCACUGUUGGUAGCGCCAUUUGGAACAGACUAAAAGAUUCAACUGAGAAGAAGAAAGAGGCCGUUAAAGAAGCAGAAGACCUUGCCAAUGAAGCAAUUGAAUCACUUAAUAAAAUAUAUAAUUUAAUCAAAGAUCCUAAAUUUGACGCGCCAUCGCAUAUGAAAACAGCUGCUCGAAGAAACAUUAAGAAAAUCAUGGAUGAUGUGGACGAAGCAAAGAAAAAAUAUCAAACGGAAAUAGAAUGUGGGAAUAUGGCAGAGCGUUAUUGGAAACAAGUCAAAAUGGCUCGUGAAAAUCUUAACGAAGAACUUCAGAUACUAUUUCCUAAUAUCAAUAUUCAUGAAAAAAAAAUUACUCUUGAUGAAAAUACCUUUGAUUUGUUUGUUUUGCAUAUGUAUAAUAAAGUAAGCAACUUGCAGAGGGAAUUAGAAAAAACAAGGACGAUCAACGAAAGUAGAAUCAGAGCAGCAUUAAAGGCAACAGGCGAAACAAUGACUGAAGAGAGAUUGCAUACUUUAGUGUGUCUUGAGUUGGACAAGGAGAAACAGAUCUAUGAGAGUGAGUUCAGUCAAAAGUUGCUGGAGGAGCAGAAAAAGUUCGACGACGAACUGCGGCGACAAUUGAAAUUGCAAGAACAGGUGCAUGCCGAUCAUCUUCAGGAAACGAUUACGUUGAAGGAAGAAGAAGCGGAGAGAAAUCUUCAACGUGCCCUCAACGAGCAAUCCGAGCAGGACAGUAUAAAACACAAGGAACAACUUGCAGUUGUCAUUGGAAGGCUACGUGGGGUUGAAGCUGCGUUUAAGACUCGCAUGGAGGAAGAAAAGGAUGCAACGAACGCUCAGAUUCUUUGGUCAGCUUGCACAGCCUUGGCGCGUGCUAUUAAAUCAGGGCCACCAGGCGCACCCAUAGAGAAAAUCGUGAGGCCCUUGGAAUCGGAGAUCAAGGCCGUCUGCAAGGCAGCACCGAAAGAAGAUCCUCUGGUGAUGGCUGCUAUUAAAGGCAUUCCUGUGGAAGCUGCGAAGAGGGGAGUAUUCCCGGAGGACAUUCUUCGUGAAAGGUUCCUCAAGGUGGAACAAGUGGCCAGACGAUUGGCCAUGGUGCCCGAGGAGGGCGCAGCACUGCCUGUUUAUUUGCUAAGUUAUCUUCAGAGCUAUUUGAUGUUCAAGGAUGUCUGUCCCAUCUCUCGUUCAGAACUCGAGGACAAACCUUUCGAUGUGGAGGAUCUUAAUACAUUCGAUAUACUCAAUCGAGCCAGGUAUUGGUUGGAUCGUGGCGACUUCAAAAUGACCCUUCGCUAUAUGAAUCUUCUGAAGGGGGCGCCAAGAUCGGUCGCCAAGGAUUGGAUGAACGAAACUAGAAUCCUCCUCGAGACCCAACAAGUUGUGGAAACGCUGUUGGCGUAUGCUGGUGCUAUGGGCCUAAUGUUCCUCGGCGCUGGAGAUUCGAAGGUCAGUCGAAACGAUUACAACAACAACAACAACAACAACAACAACAACAACAACAAAAACAAAACAAAGAAUUGAACGACAAGAAUAUCAAAAGACACUACCUAGUAAACAAAUUUUUGUAUAGUUCACAUUAUAGUAUCCCUUUAAAAAAAAAAAAACUCGUUCUCUCGAUAAUAUUUUGAAAAGAAAAAAAAAAGGAAAAAAAAGAAAUGGAGAAAUUUCAAACUGUCAAGGUGAGGACCCAAAAAAUGUAUUUUUGAUUGUUUAUAAUAAUUGGAAAGUAAUAUUAAAUAUACUGGAUUGUUCAACAGAA